GAGACUUUGAAAUUUCUAUUUCACUGAAACAAUUUUUCGCAGACCACAGUUUUUUGUGGAACCAAACGGCCUCCAGGGUAAAAGGAUAUUUUGCUUUCUUUCUAGUUUAAUUUUGUCUCUUUUCAUGUUAUUGGUCUUCGAGAUGGAUUCUUGGUAGUCAAUUAUUUUAUUAUGUUUUUGAUUAAAGCAAUUUAAUAUAUUUCUAAGUUUUUGUGUUUGGUCAAUCUUUAAGCCUGUAAGUUCAUCUCUUACUUGAUAAGAUGCCAUUCUGUGAGAGAUCUUUAUGACAUAAAGAGGUUCUUGAUCUUUAUGAUUUUUUUUUGUCUUCACGGUUGCUUACAAGUGUUUGUAGUUUUCUGCUGCAAGGAUAAUAUGAUUUCAUAAUGAUUUGUAUUUGCUUGAUUUUCUUGCUAUAAGAUUAUUUUUUAUUCUAUGAAUCAAGACGACAAUUUUUCUGUUAACAGGGAAGUUACUUUUUGAUCUUAUUUCUUAUAUGAAGAACGUAUUACUUUUGGUCGGUAAAUAGAUGCAAUGCUUACAUAAUGCGUAGUAACUGGCUUCCGGCUUUAGAAUUACAAACUUCUUACUUUCUUACGGAAGGUCCUCUUUUCGUCGACCUUUUUUCUCUAGUUCAGCUGUACAUAAUCGUUCGUUUAUUUAUACUAAGUUUGAGCUUUUGGGCUUUGGUAUUGCUUCAAUCACCUUUUGAAAUAAAUUUUAGCUAUGCUAUUUGCAGUUAAAGUUCAUCAUUAUCCGGAGCUUUUUAAUGUAGGCUGAAAUUUUAAUUCAUUAUUAUUUGGACGUGUUUAUAUUUCGGUUUGGUAUGAGUUGCUAUGAAUAGUUGGAGCUUAAGAGUAAAAAAUGGGGAUUUAAUAAAUGGUGAUUGCAACUUUUAGUCACUUUGUUGUCAGUUUCAGUUUCUUGUUAGUUGUUUGGUCACCUUUUUCUUUAUUGAUGGUUUUACCAAUUUAUUUGUAUGAAAGAUUUGGUAUAACUGGAAAGCAUUUCGAGCGGAGUGUAAUGAGAUUUGUGUGUGUGUGUGUGUGUGUGUGCGCGUGUGUCUCAAGCAUUGAAAUUAAUAUUGUUAUAUAUCUUUAUUAUUUCUGCUAUACUUGUGCUUUGAAGAAAUUUAUCAACUGUAUGCUGUGUUUAUCCUUAUUGGCUGCAAAUAGUCGGAGCAAAUAGUGAUGAGUUAGUGAGUUCGAUUGUAUAUUGUUCCCAUUUAUUUUAUUACAUUUUGUGUAGCGAAUGAUAUUGUUCGCACUAUAAAUCCUUACUCUAUUAUGACUUUAGUUUUGUUCUAAUAUAUGUAGUUUCAUAAUAUCUAUAAAUUGAUCUUUUUUAGUUAUUAAGAAAUUUAGACUCUAUUCUUACUGCACUUAGCUAUUUUUAUGGCCAUUAGAGAUCAAAUCUCUUUAGAAACUAUUUUCUUUUUUAAUGAAAUUUAGUAAAAGAAUUUAUGCGAAUGUGUGCCAAGUGCAAAGAACUCAUACCAAUGUGUACUAAAAUGAUAGUGGUGUGCCGCUAGCGUGGAGGGGCGUGUCAGCAUUCGCAUGUCUUGUGCUGCUGUGUCGUGUUGUGCUGUGCCAUUAGUAUGGUAAUCCUUGUAUCACAAAGGAAAAAUAAAUUUUUCGUUCUUUUACUUUUCCUUUAAAACAAUUACAGUCCAAAAACUUUUUUUUUUCCUAAAAAUACCAAACAUCUGAGACUCUGAAAUUUCUAUUUCUCUGAAACAAUUUUUCGCAGAACACAGUUUUUUGUGGAACCAAAUGGCCUCCAGGGUAAAGGAUUUUUUGCUUUCUUUCUAGUUUAAUUUUGUCUCCUUUCAUGUUAUUGGUCUACGAGAUGGAUUCUUGGUAGUCAAUUAUUUUAUUAUGUUUUUGAUUAAAGCAAUUUAAUAUAUUUCUAAGUUCUCAUGUUUGGUCAAUCUUUAAGCCUGUAAGUUCAUCUCUUGAUAAGAUGUCAUUUUGUGAGAGAUCUUUAUGACAUAAAGAGGUUCUUGAUCUUUAUGGUUUUUUUUGUGUUCACGGUCGCUUACGAGUGUUUGUAGUUUUCUGCUGCAAGAAUAAUAUGAUUUUAGAAAUGAUUUGUAUUUGCUUGAUUUUUGUGACGCCCUAACUUUCCAGGGGUCACCCAUCCUAGGACUACUCCCGUCCUAGCACACUUAACUCUCUUAACCUCUUGGACCUUACCACCACCCAAAAUAUUUAAGCCGGGUUAAGAGUUUUUAAUCCUAUUAUAUUUUAUAUAUAGGACUACAUGGGGUCUCACAAUCUCCCCUUUUAAGCCCUGACAUUCUCCUCAGGCUCAAACUCACAAGUACCAGGUGACAUUCUUGUUUAUUUAUACUAAGUUUGAGCUUUUGGGCUUUGGUAUUGCUUCAAUCACCUUUUGAAAUAAAUUUUAAAGUUCAUCUUUUCCUGGAGCUUUUUAAUGUAGUUUGAAAUUUUAAUUCAUUAUUAUUUGGACGUAUUUAUAUUUCGGUUUGGUAUGAGUUGCUGUGAAUAGUUGGAGCUUAAGAGUGAAAAAUAGGGACAAUAAAUAGUGAUUGCAACUUUAAAUCACUUUGUUGUCAGUUUUAGUUUCUGUUAGUUGUUUGGUCACCUUUUUUCUUUAUUGAUGGUUUUACCACUUUAUAUUAAAGAUUUGGUAUAACAGGAAAGCAUUUCGAGUAAUGAGAUUUGUGUGUGUGUGUGUGUUUGUCUCAAGCAUUGAAAUUAAUAUUGUUAUAUAUCAUUAUUAUUUUUGCUAUGCUUGUGCUUUGAAGAAAUUUAUCAACUGUAUGCUGUGUUUAUCCUUGUUGACCGCAAAUAGUCAGAGCAAAUAGUGAUGAGUUAGUUCGAUUGUAUAUUGAGACCAACUAUACAAAUAAGAAGACUUUUUCCCAUUUCUUUUAUUUCUUUUUGUGUAGCGAAUGAUAUUGUUCGUACUAUAAAUCCUUACUCUAUUAUGACUUUAGUUUUGUUCUAAUAUGUAGUUUCAUAAUAUCUAUAAAUUGAUCUUUUUUAGUUAUUAAGAUAUGUUGACUCUAUUCUUACUGCACUCAGCUAUUUUUAUGGCCAUUAGAGAUCAAAUCUCUUUAGAAACUAUUUUCUUUUUUAAUAAAAUUUUGUAAAAGAACUUAUGCAAAUGUGCGCCAAGUGCAGAGAACUCAUACCAAUGUGUACUAAAAUGACAGUGGUGUGUCGCUAGCGUGGAGGGACGUGUCAGCAUUCGCAUGUCUUGUGCUGUCGUGUCGUGUUGUGCUGUGCCAUUGGCAUGGUAAUCCUUGUAUCACAAAGGUUAAAUAAAUUUUUCGUUGUUUUACUUUUCCUUUAAAACAAUUACGGUCGAAAAAAUUUUUCUUUCCGACAUACCAAACAUCUGAGACUCUGAAAUUUCUAUUUCACUGAAACAAUUUUUCGCAGACCACAGUUUUUUUUGUAGCCAAACAGCCUCCAGGGUAAAAGGAUUUUUCGCUUUCCUUCUAGUUUAAUUUUGUCUCGUUUCUUGUUAUUGGACUUUCAGAUGGAUUCUUGGUAGUCAAUUAUUUUAUUAUGUUUUUGAUUAAAGCAAUUUAAUAUAUUUCUAAGUUUUCUUGUUUGGUCAAUCUUUAAGCCUGUAAGUUUUUCUCUUACUUGAUAAUAUGCCAUUCUGUGAGGCAUCUUUCUGAC
This 3653-nucleotide long non-coding RNA is filed under the name Ananas comosus (pineapple). Its description in RNAcentral is "long non-coding RNA (ACOM_LNC020961)". Lineage: Eukaryota; Viridiplantae; Streptophyta; Magnoliopsida; Poales; Bromeliaceae. The record is from RNAcentral.